GGAUUAGAUACCCUGGUAGUCCACGCCGUAAACGAUGAGUGCUAGACGUUGGAAAUUAAUUUUUCAGUGUCGUAGUUAACGCAUUAAGCACUCCGCCUGGGGAGUACGGUCGCAAGAUUAAAACUCAAAGGAAUUGACGGGGGCCCGCACAAGCGGUGGAGCAUGUGGUUUAAUUCGACGCAACGUGAAGAACCUUACCAGCUCUUGACAUUGCUAAGUCGCGAGUUUUAGAGAUAAAACUCUUCAGUUCGGCUGGACUUAGUACAGGUGCUGCAUGGCUGUCGUCAGCUCGUGCCG
This 297-nucleotide ribosomal RNA is filed under the name uncultured bacterium. Its description in RNAcentral is "partial 16S ribosomal RNA". It matches the Rfam family "Bacterial small subunit ribosomal RNA", at positions 775 to 1067 of the family's 1533-position model. The record is from RNAcentral.